UGGGGAAUAUUGCACAAUGGGCGAAAGCCUGAUGCAGCAACGCCGCGUGAGUGAUGAAGGCCUUCGGGUUGUAAAGCUCUGUCUUCUGGGACGAUAAUGACGGUACCAGAGGAGGAAGCCACGGCUAACUACGUGACAGCAGCCGCGGUAAUACGUAGGUGGCAAGCGUUGUCCGGAUUUACUGGGCGUAAAGGAUGCGUAGGCGGAUACUUAAGUCAGAUGUGAAAAUCCCGGGCUUAACUUGGGAACUGCAUUUGAAACUGGGUAUCUAGAGUGCGGGAGAGGACAGUGGAAUUCCUAGUGUAGCGGUGAAAUGCGUAGAGAUUAGGAAGAACACCAGUGGCGAAGGCGACUUUCUGGACCGUAACUGACGCUGAGGCAUGAAAGCGUGGGGAGCAAACA
This 402-nucleotide ribosomal RNA is filed under the name uncultured bacterium. RNAcentral's name for it is "bacterial SSU rRNA". It matches the Rfam family "Bacterial small subunit ribosomal RNA", at positions 355 to 774 of the family's 1533-position model. The record is from RNAcentral.